AUACGGAGGGCGCAAGCGUUACUCAGAAUCACUGGGCGUAAAGCGCGCGCAGGCGGUCUUUUAAGUUGGAUGUGAAAGCCUACGGCUCAACCGUAGAACUGCAUCCAAAACUAUUAGACUAGAGUGUGGGAGAGGAAGAUGGAAUUAGUUGUGUAGGGGUAAAAUCCGUAGAGAUAACUAGGAAUACCAAAAGCGAAGGCAAUCUUCUGGAACACUACUGACGCUGAGGCGCGAAAGCGUGGGAGCAAACAGGAUUAGAAACCCUAGUAGUCC
Molecule: ribosomal RNA, 273 nt
Filed under: uncultured bacterium
Lineage: Bacteria
Description: partial 16S ribosomal RNA
Rfam family: Bacterial small subunit ribosomal RNA
Source: RNAcentral